UACAGAGGGUGCGAGCGUUAAUCGGAAUUACUGGGCGUAAAGCGCACGUAGGCGGAUAUUUAAGUCAGGGGUGAAAUCCCAGAGCUCAACUCUGGAACUGCCUUUGAUACUGGGUAUCUUGAGUAUGGAAGAGGUAAGUGGAAUUGCGAGUGUAGAGGUGAAAUUCGUAGAUAUUCGCAGGAACACCAGUGGCGAAGGCGGCUUACUGGUCCAUAACUGACGCUGAGGUGCGAAAGCGUGGGGAGCAAACAGG
Molecule: ribosomal RNA, 253 nt
Filed under: uncultured bacterium
Lineage: Bacteria
Description: partial 16S ribosomal RNA
Rfam family: Bacterial small subunit ribosomal RNA
Source: RNAcentral